GGCGGCGUGCUUAACACAUGCAAGUCGAACGGAAAGGCCCUGCUUUUGUGGGGUGCUCGAGUGGCGAACGGGUGAGUAACACGUGAGUAACCUGCCCUUGACUUUGGGAUAACUUCGGGAAACUGGGGCUAAUACCGGAUAGGAGCUCCUGCUGCAUGGUGGGGGUUGGAAAGUUUCGGCGGUUGGGGAUGGACUCGCGGCUUAUCAGCUUGUUGGUGGGGUAGUGGCUUACCAAGGCUUUGACGGGUAGCCGGCCUGAGAGGGUGACCGGCCACAUUGGGACUGAGAUACGGCCCAGACUCCUACGGGAGGCAGCAGUGGGGAAUAUUGCACAAUGGGCGGAAGCCUGAUGCAGCAACGCCGCGUGCGGGAUGACGGCCUUCGGGUUGUAAACCGCUUUCGCCUGUGACGAAGCGUGAGUGACGGUAAUGGGUAAAGAAGCACCGGCUAACUACGUGCCAGCAGCCGCGGUGAUACGUAGGGUGCGAGCGUUGUCCGGAUUUAUUGGGCGUAAAGGGCUCGUAGGUGGUUGAUCGCGUCGGAAGUGUAAUCUUGGGGCUUAACCCUGAGCGUGCUUUCGAUACGGGUUGACUUGAGGAAGGUAGGGGAGAAUGGAAUUCCUGGUGGAGCGGUGGAAUGCGCAGAUAUCAGGAGGAACACCAGUGGCGAAGGCGGUUCUCUGGGCCUUUCCUGACGCUGAGGAGCGAAAGCGUGGGGAGCGAACAGGCUUAGAUACCCUGGUAGUCCACGCUGUAAACGGUGGGUACUAGGUGUGGGGUCCAUUCCACGGGUUCCGUGCCGUAGCUAACGCUUUAAGUACCCCGCCUGGGGAGUACGGCCGCAAGGCUAAAACUCAAAGGAAUUGACGGGGCCCCGCACAAGCGGCGGAGCAUGCGGAUUAAUUCGAUGCAACGCGUAGAACCUUACCUGGGUUUGACAUGGAUCGGGAGUGCUCAGAGAUGGGUGUGCCUCUUUUGGGGUCGGUUCACAGGUGGUGCAUGGCUGUCGUCAGCUCGUGUCGUGAGAUGUUGGGUUAAGUCCCGCAACGAGCGCAACCCUUGUUCACUGUUGCCAGCACGUUAUGGUGGGGACUCAGUGGAGACCGCCGGGGUCAACUCGGAGGAAGGUGGGGAUGACGUCAAGUCAUCAUGCCCCUUAUGUCCAGGGCUUCACGCAUGCUACAAUGGCUGGUACAGAGAGUGGCGAGCCUGUGAGGGUGAGCGAAUCUCGGAAAGCCGGUCUCAGUUCGGAUUGGGGUCUGCAACUCGACCUCAUGAAGUCGGAGUCGCUAGUAAUCGCAGAUCAGCAACGCUGCGGUGAAUACGUUCCCGGGGCUUGUACACACCGCCCGUCAAGUCAUGAAAGUUGGUAACACCCGAAGCCGGUGGCCUAACCGUUGUGGGGGAGCCGUCGAAGGUGGGACUGGUGAUUAGGACUAAGA
Molecule: ribosomal RNA, 1441 nt
Filed under: uncultured organism
Description: partial small subunit ribosomal RNA
Rfam family: Bacterial small subunit ribosomal RNA
Source: RNAcentral